Molecule: RNA transcript, 2326 nt
Organism: Asparagus officinalis (garden asparagus)
Lineage: Eukaryota; Viridiplantae; Streptophyta; Magnoliopsida; Asparagales; Asparagaceae
Exons: 9
Source: RefSeq, a predicted model, not a curated record
AAAGCCCAACUUUUCUCACGGCGGUCGAAAUAAACUCUUCGCAUCUCACUGGCGUUACAUCAAACAGUUGAAGGACAAAAGAUCGAUCCUCAGAAUUUCUCAGUGCCCAGUUUCUUCGAUCCCUCGACACGAUCUUUGAACUCUUUUUUAAACCUCCCAAGGAUCAGCAAUGGCGAUCUUGUAUAGUAUUCUACUGCACGUCUCGACUCUGCUUCACUCACCUGUAGUUUUAACAAUUGGGAGUGAGAGGAGAGAAUUCAUACUCUCAUCAUCUUGACUCUUAUGUAAGGAAAUUUCUUCUGCACUUUUAAACAGGAUGCUGGGUGGCAUCCUGCUUAUUCGCUGCUCUGUUAACUUUCUAUACCCUUGCCUUCUUUGAGAAGUUGAACGUAGACAGCAAUGCCUCAAUGAGCAGGGUCUGUUCAUGCCCGUUCUCCUUUUAGGUGUUUUGAUGAAACUCUCACUUUCAGAAACACAGCAACAAGGACAUUAUUGCUUCUGCACAAUGCACAAGCUUUCUUUCUGCAAUCCUUAAGAGAUAUGGGUGCAAGUGCGGGUAUGGACACAGACAUGGGUGCAGAUACCGGACACAACAAAUAUGUAAAAGAUAACAAUGACACCUCCAAUGAAGUUUGGAUAUGGUUGCCUUGGAGAGCCCUAGUUGUAUUUGUGGCUAACUCAUCUCUGCAGCAAAAGGGGAUAAGGGAACCAAGAUAGACCCCCUGACCAUAAUUGUCUGGAACGUGGAACGCUAUAGUCAACCACGAGCAGGAUUCAAUCGUACUGGAUUCACAGUGGCAUAACGGGGCGUACCGGAUUCCCAGUGGCAUACAGACCCGUUCACCAACUCUAGCGACCCGAUUUAGAUUUAAAUCAAGUUAAAAUUUUGAAAAGAAUAACUCUUUUUCAAUAGAAUAAACAACAAAAAAGUGAUUCUCAAUGUUCUUUUACCAUUUCUGAUAUCAACUAGCAUACUCCUUAAAUUUGACUCUUGCGAACGAACCUUUGAUUCCUGCAUUUAAGGUCCAAACCUAAAACAUACCACGUUCCUUAGCAUAUUGUGCAAGCCUACCCCCUUUACCUGAUUCCUAAUGAGUGUCGUACCACGCUCCCGUUCCCGUCAUGUGAACUGGAAUGAACUUGGUUCCAUCCAACUAAGCCCCUGGCUGAACUCUGUUGACUUUUUUAGCCUCAUAGGAAGAGAAAAUUAUCUUUUGACAAAGAGACCGCUUGAGGGUAGAAGAGUCAAAAGAAAUUCAGAGGUUUCUGCAAUUGGGCGAUAGUACAAUGGUCUAUCCACAGUUAACCUUAUUCCUGAUUAUGACUGUAGUGAGUAUGCCAUGGAGGAGUUGAGCAAUUAAGUUGGUUAGCUCAAGCAAUCUAGAGGAGUGGCUUGUGAUGAUGGCAUACUCAAGCAAUUGAGUAGGCCAUUCAAAUCGGGUACUUCCUGUGAUUCCAGCCAAGAUCCCCACUUUUGAUAUUUGCUUUUAGAAGAUUUGUGGCUCUCACAUUAAAAGAAAAUGAUAUAGGGUAUUUUUUGCUAUAUAACUUGAAUGUUAACACUCUUUUUGAUUGAUCUCAUUACUAUGUAUUGAGGUGACAAGAUUAAGAGAGAAUGACUGAUCUAGGAUGCUGAAUUUCAUCGCAUUGUUCAUCGCAAGAAGCCAUAGUAGUCUAUUUCACGAUCUAAUUAGGUUGCUGUCAUCUUCUAACUAUUCUGUUCAAAUGAAUUCAAAAGUAUGCAGAUUCUUCAUCACCCUUACGCUUCAAGUCUUGCUCUUCUUAUUGUGUUGGAUUCAUAUGACAUUUUGAGAAAUUGGUGGUGGUUGAACUUGCACAUGUCACGCUAGUUUCCAAAGGACGAAGCCAAUGGGAGGAGAGAAUCAGAGAGGAGUAAUGACGGAGCACGUAUCAAGUUGGAAAAACGUAAUCAGCGAAGGGAUCUUAUCUCAAGUAAUAUUUUCAAUUAAGUCCGUCCGCAUCCAAUCAAAUAUGGGUGUUUCUUGUGAGGCUUCAGAUAACUCUGAACGGUGUGGUGACGGGGAUCCUACUACGAAUUGGGGAUGAGGACUUUGUUGCUUGCUUGCGUGUGGGGCAAGAGUUGGGCGAGCAUCUCAUUUAAAAUCAUUAAGGAAAUGAAAAUUCCGUGCACACGUUUUUGAUUUGUACAGUACACGUACCUGAAAAGACCUUUGAAGCCUAGAGUUAUUUGAGCUGAUAUAGAGCACAUGUAAAAAGUACAUCACCGUGUGAUGCCAAUUUUAUGUUUACCGCCGUUGUUGUCGGAUAAAAGUUCGGGUUGGCUUCACAAAACCCUCGUGAAAUA